ACAUACGGCCAUACCUGCGAGAGAAUACGGGAUCCCGUCCGCUCUCCCCUAGUCAAACUUGCAAGGGGCAGAUUAGUAGUUGGGUCGGUGACGAUAUAUGAAUACCUGCUGGCGGAUAUU
Molecule: non-coding RNA, 120 nt
Organism: Ophiocordyceps unilateralis
Lineage: Eukaryota; Fungi; Ascomycota; Sordariomycetes; Hypocreales; Ophiocordycipitaceae
Source: Rfam